GAUGAACGCUGGCGGCGUGCCUAAUACAUGCAAGUCGAGCGAACAGACGAGGAGCUUGCUCCUCUGACGUUAGCGGCGGACGGGUGAGUAACACGUGGAUAACCUACCUAUAAGACUGGGAUAACUUCGGGAAACCGGAGCUAAUACCGGAUAACAUGUUGAACCGCAUGGUUCAACAGUGAAAGACGGUUUUGCUGUCACUUAGAGAUGGAUCCGCGUCGCAUUAGCUAGUUGGUAAGGUAACGGCUUACCAAGGCAACGAUGCGUAGCCGACCUGAGAGGGUGAUCGGCCACACUGGAACUGAGACACGGUCCAGACUCCUACGGGAGGCAGCAGUAGGGAAUCUUCCGCAAUGGGCGAAAGCCUGACGGAGCAACGCCGCGUGAGUGAAGAAGGUCUUCGGAUCGUAAAACUCUGUUAUUAGGGAAGAACAAAUGUGUAAGUAACUAUGCACGUCUUGACGGUACCUAAUCAGAAAGCCACGGCUAACUACGUG
This 497-nucleotide ribosomal RNA is filed under the name uncultured bacterium. Its description in RNAcentral is "partial 16S ribosomal RNA". It matches the Rfam family "Bacterial small subunit ribosomal RNA", at positions 28 to 507 of the family's 1533-position model. The record is from RNAcentral.